AACAGGAUUAGAUACCCUGGUAGUCCACGCCGUAAACGAUGUCGACUUGGAGGUUGUGCCCUUGAGGCGUGGCUUCCGGAGCUAACGCGUUAAGUCGACCGCCUGGGGAGUACGGCCGCAAGGUUAAAACUCAAAUGAAUUGACGGGGGCCCGCACAAGCGGUGGAGCAUGUGGUUUAAUUCGAUGCAACGCGAAGAACCUUACCUGGUCUUGACAUCCACAGAACCUUGUAGAGAUACGAGGGUGCCUUCGGGAACUGUGAGACAGGUGCUGCAUGGCUGUCGUCAGCUCGUGUUGUGAAAUGUUGGGUUAAGUCCCGCAACGAGCGCAACCCUUAUCCUUUGUUGCCAGCGGUCCGGCCGGGAACUCAAAGGAGACUGCCAGUGAUAAACUGGAGGAAGGUGGGGAUGACGUCAAGUCAUCAUGGCCCUUACGACCAGGGCUACACACGUGCUACAAUGGCGCAUACAAAGAGAAGCGACCUCGCGAGAGCAAGCGGACCUCAUAAAGUGCGUCGUAGUCCGGAUUGGAGUCUGCAACUCGACUCCAUGAAGUCGGAAUCGCUAGUAAUCGUGGAUCAGAAUGCCACGGUGAAUACGUUCCCGGGCCUUGUACACACCGCCCGUCACACCAUGGGAGUGGGUUGCAAAAGAAGUAGGUAGCUUAACCUUCGGGAGGGCGCUUACCACUUUGUGAUUCAUGACUGGGGUGAAGUCGUAACAAGGUAACC
RNAcentral lists this ribosomal RNA (730 nucleotides) under uncultured bacterium. RNAcentral's name for it is "bacterial SSU rRNA". It matches the Rfam family "Bacterial small subunit ribosomal RNA", at positions 771 to 1501 of the family's 1533-position model. The record is from RNAcentral.